Molecule: ribosomal RNA, 883 nt
Filed under: Wolbachia pipientis
Lineage: Bacteria; Pseudomonadati; Pseudomonadota; Alphaproteobacteria; Rickettsiales; Anaplasmataceae
Description: bacterial SSU rRNA
Rfam family: Bacterial small subunit ribosomal RNA
Source: RNAcentral
UAUUGUAGCCUGCUAUGGUAUAACUUAGUGGCAGACGGGUGAGUAAUGUAUAGGAAUCUACCUAGUAGUACGGAAUAAUUGUUGGAAACGGCAACUAAUACCGUAUACGCCCUACGGGGGAAAAAUUUAUUGCUAUUAGAUGAGCCUAUAUUAGAUUAGCUAGUUGGUGGAGUAAUAGCCUACCAAGGCAAUGAUCUAUAGCUGAUCUGAGAGGAUGAUCAGCCACACUGGAACUGAGAUACGGUCCAGACUCCUACGGGAGGCAGCAGUGGGGAAUAUUGGACAAUGGGCGAAAGCCUGAUCCAGCCAUGCCGCAUGAGUGAAGAAGGCCUUUGGGUUGUAAAGCUCUUUUAGUGAGGAAGAUAAUGACGGUACUCACAGAAGAAGUCCUGGCUAACUCCGUGCCAGCAGCCGCGGUAAUACGGAGAGGGCUAGCGUUAUUCGGAAUUAUUGGGCGUAAAGGGCGCGUAGGCGGAUUAGUAAGUUAAAAGUGAAAUCCCAAGGCUCAACCUUGGAAUUGCUUUUAAAACUGUUAAUCUAGAGAUUGAAAGAGGAUAGAGGAAUUCCUAGUGUAGAGGUGAAAUUCGUAAAUAUUAGGAGGAACACCAGUGGCGAAGGCGUCUAUCUGGUUCAAAUCUGACGCUGAGGCGCGAAGGCGUGGGGAGCAAACAGGAUUAGAUACCCUGGUAGUCCACGCUGUAAACGAUGAAUGUUAAAUAUGGGAAGUUUUACUUUCUGUAUUACAGCUAACGCGUUAAACAUUCCGCCUGGGGACUACGGUCGCAAGAUUAAAACUCAAAGGAAUUGACGGGGACCCGCACAAGCGGUGGAGCAUGUGGUUUAAUUCGAUGCAACGCGAAAAACCUUACCACUCCUUGACAUG